AUGAUGAAUCAGGGCCUUGGGCCAUUUGGUGUAUUUUGUUACUAUCAAUAUUCUGACUACGCUGUUGGCGAUGGUGGAACUGGAGAGGGUACAGAUGCGGAGGCGACAAUGUCGACUUCGGGUGAAGAAUGUGAGCAUCCAGAGUAUAUCAUUCGCGGGCCACCCCCUGCUAUCCAGUACUGCGGAGAGCUUGAAAAAUACUGUCACUGGGGCAAUGAAGUUAAGCUCUAUCAGCACCAUGUGAACACCUUGUUUGCCAUGUUCCGCCGCAAAAAGGCAGACAUCAAAUACUAUGUGUGCACCAUCAACAAAACAUUUUCAAAGCCAGGCCAGCGCGUGGAUUACAUUGACCCAGAUGAUGAUACACUCAAGGUGAAACUUGCAAACAGUGAACUGCACGCCAAAUGUCGCAUCAUGCUAGGAACCGACAAGAGAGCCACCAUAACCACCAACUGGCCACUCCAUGUUCUACUUAAGAAAGACGCCUUCCAAUGGACCCAAGAACACACGGCUGUAUUUGAAGUACUCAAAACAAAACUGACCCCCUGCCCUGUAUUAACUCUGCCUGACUUUAGUAGGCCUUUUGUCCUGGAGACUGAUGUAUGUGGGACAGGUUUGGGAGCAGUUUUUAUGGAAAGUGAGGAAAAGAGAACAUUGUGGCUGAUGCUUUGUCCCGGGGCGACACUGUGCUAUGCUACCUCUUGUGUUCCAGACUGGAUUAAAGAUGUUAAUAUGGAUCGGAGGAAGUACAUCAAUGACCCUGGCAGCUGUAAACUGCUGAAGAAACUAGCUGAUGGUCGAAGGCGGUCGUCUUUUUUAAGCCGAUCGUGCAGUGGGGCUGUCCUCAUCCAAACUCGCCGUUCACAUCUAGGCAAGCUCGCUCCCCCGUCGCCGGCAAACCCUAGCCAAACCAAAAUGGGGCUCUUCUUCGGCGCCGGCAGCAGCAGUAGCAAGGCCAAGGGCAAAGCCCCCGCCGUCCCUUUCCCCUCCGAGGUCCUACCGCCUCAACUCACCGACCCCGAGGACGACGACGCCUAG
RNAcentral lists this ribosomal RNA (1038 nucleotides) under Triticum aestivum (bread wheat). Its description in RNAcentral is "partial small subunit ribosomal RNA". The record is from RNAcentral. Lineage: Eukaryota; Viridiplantae; Streptophyta; Magnoliopsida; Poales; Poaceae.